RNAcentral lists this ribosomal RNA (467 nucleotides) under uncultured bacterium. Its description in RNAcentral is "bacterial SSU rRNA". It matches the Rfam family "Bacterial small subunit ribosomal RNA", at positions 37 to 507 of the family's 1533-position model. The record is from RNAcentral.
AACNCGUGGCGGCGUGCUUAACACAUGCAAGUCGAACGAGAACGGGAUAUAGCUUGCUAUAUUUGUCAGCUAAGUGGCGCACGGGUGAGUAAUGUAUAGGUAAUAUGCCUCUUACUAAGGGAUAACAAUUGGAAAACGAUUGCUAAUACCUUAUAUGCCUUUAAGACUAAAGUCUGCAAGGGAAAGAUUUAUUGGUAAGAGAUUAGCCUGUAUUGUAUCAGCUAGUUGGUGAGGUAAUGGCUCACCAAGGCUAUGACGCAUAACUGGUUUGAGAGGAUGAUCAGUCACACUGGAACUGAGACACGGUCCAGACUCCUACGGGAGGCAGCAGGUGGGGAAUAUUGCACAAUGGACGAAAGUCUGAUGCAGUAACGCCGCGUGGAGGAUGACACAUUUCGGUGCGUAAACUCCUUUUAUAUAGGAAGAUAAUGACGGUACUAUAUGAAUAAGCACCGGCUAACUCCGUG